Molecule: ribosomal RNA, 427 nt
Filed under: uncultured Steroidobacter sp.
Lineage: Bacteria; Pseudomonadati; Pseudomonadota; Gammaproteobacteria; Steroidobacterales; Steroidobacteraceae
Description: bacterial SSU rRNA
Rfam family: Bacterial small subunit ribosomal RNA
Source: RNAcentral
UGGGGAAUAUUGGACAAUGGGGGCAACCCUGAUCCAGCGACGCCGCGUGGGUGAAGAAGGCCUGCGGGUUGUAAAGCCCUUUCGGUGGGGAAGAAAAGCCUCGAGUUAACACCUCGGGGUCUUGACGUAACCCAUUAAAGAAGCACCGGCUAACUCUGUGCCAGCAGCCGCGGUAAUACAGAGGGUGCGAGCGUUAAUCGGAAUUACUGGGCGUAAAGCGCGCGUAGGCGGCUUUGCAAGUCGGGUGUGAAAUCCCCAGGCUCAACCUGGGAACUGCAUUCGAGACUGCAUUGCUAGAGUAUGGGAGAGGGAAGUGGAAUUUCAGGUGUAGCGGUGAAAUGCGUAGAUAUCUGAAGGAACAUCAGUGGCGAAAGCGACUUCCUGGACCAAUACUGACGCUCAUGUGCGAAAGCGUGGGGAGCAAACA